Nicotiana tabacum (common tobacco) is the source of this 907-nucleotide non-coding RNA. Lineage: Eukaryota; Viridiplantae; Streptophyta; Magnoliopsida; Solanales; Solanaceae. The record is from RefSeq and is a predicted model, not a curated record.
CUUGGGUAAAAAGUAACUUGGGAGAAAAGUCAUCUAAUAGAGUUGGAGUAGGAUUCUACUUGGAGAAGAAGAAUCCUACACGUUUUUGGAGAGGAUUUUUUCGUCCAAAAUUUCUCUAUUAAAGGAAGACUAGUUUCACUUAAUUACUCACCUUUUAGUUGUAUUGUUCUUGCCCACCCAAUAGCAAAAAACGUCUAAGGUUUUACUAGGAAAAUAGCAGAAGACUGCAGCCCUUGAUUCUUGCAGCUUGGAAGGUUUGUGCAACUACUUCAAGAGUUGGGUCAGCUUGGAACGAGGAAGAAGACGACCAAGUGAAGCUGCUCGAAAUUUAAAAGUUGGUCGACGGUCAGGUGAAGAACACAGCAGCAGUUGGAAGCAGGUGGGGCUGGGGUUUCGCUGCUGCUCAUCGUGGUGUUGGACUGUUUUGGAGAUGUAACUUACUGGACGUCGGGCUGGACGGAGACGGGCAGCAGCUGCUUUGGUCGUUAGGAGACGAGGAAGGUGAAGUUGACGUUGGAGGUUUGGUGGUUUGAGAGUGGUCGCCAGUGAGUUGUUAAUGGGGAACGGGGGUCGUUUUCUGUGGGGGGAGGGGACGACGGAGCUGGUUCACGUCGUGAGGGACUACUGGUCGCCGUCGAAGAUGGCGACGGGGUGAUGACGGGGACUGCUGGUCGUUUGGUUGUUCUCCAAUGGAGAUCGUCUCCUUUUAGGAUCGUUGUAUCUAGCUUGAGGAAGAUGAAGUCCUUUCUUUUUAUUAUAUCUCUUCUCUAUUAUUGUAGGGAAUAAAUAUGUGUAUUAUUGUAGGGAAUCAAGUAUUCAGGCGUGCAAAAAUGGGGGUCCCAAAUCGUGGGUUAGGGGUUAAUGUGUUCUAUCAUGUCUUCCAAAAUAUUCCAAUUCGUGUGGUGAA